This 30-nucleotide non-coding RNA is filed under the name Homo sapiens (human). The record is from RNAcentral. Lineage: Eukaryota; Metazoa; Chordata; Mammalia; Primates; Hominidae.
UACCUCUCUUGGGCCAAUUUCUGUCACUGA